Molecule: ribosomal RNA, 467 nt
Filed under: uncultured bacterium
Lineage: Bacteria
Description: partial 16S ribosomal RNA
Rfam family: Bacterial small subunit ribosomal RNA
Source: RNAcentral
GACGAACGCUGGCGGCGUGCUUAACACAUGCAAGUCGAACGGAAAGGCCCUGCUUUUGUGGGGUGCUCGAGUGGAGAACGGGUGAGUAACACGUGAGUAACCUGCCCUGAACUUGGGAUUACUUCUAGAAACCGGGGGUAAUACCGGAAAGGAGAUGCUGCCGCACGGGGGGGGGUUGGAAGUUUCGGAGGUUGGGGGUGGACUCGCGGCUUAUCAGCUUGUUGGUGGGGUAGUGGCUUACCAAGGCUUUGACGGGUAGCCGGCCUGAGAGGGUGACCAGCCACAUUGGGACUGAGAUACGGCCCAGACUCCUACGGGAGGCAGCAGUGGGGAAUAUUGCACAAUGGGCGGAAGCCUGAUGCAGCAACGCCGCGUGCGGGAUGACGGCCUUCGGGUUGUAAACCGCUUUCGCCUGUGACGAAGCGUGAGUGACGGUAAUGGGUAAAGAAGCACCGGCUAACUACGUG